UUUCAGAGUUCUAUAAACAUUACUAUCACUCAGUUUAAGAAUAAUUUAGAGAAACGAACAGUGUAUGAAUAUAAAUUAGUUGUGAAACGAAAAGUAAUAUGACCACGAAAAACGUAAAAAAUAUAUAAAACCGCUGGCAACUGAGGAACUCCAGAUGAGCAGAAAGAUACACGUGAGUUUGUUUACGAGUAGUGACGCAGGAAGUGACGGAUCAGAAAUAACAGCGACACAACAAGGGGCACAAUCCCUACACAACCCCAAAGAUCCCAAUGUACCACACACCUUUUAUAUAGAAAAAGAGUACCCUGGGUUUUGCGUAUAACGAUCUCGUCUGUUUGAUACUACGUACGCGUGCCUUCAUGACAAGCAAUGAGUCGUCUGACCGUGAGUAUAUUCAACCUUCAUGAGUAUUUUGGCACCUAAAGGAUCAUUUAGGAUACCCAGGACCAACAGGAGGUAAAUGUUCCAGGAGAGCAGUUCCCUGGCAUAGCAGGCAGUGCACCCAAACCUACCUAAGUGAUGGUCUCUGUCACACCAUCCUCCCCUUUGGAGAGUGACAGUCUCUGUCACAAUGCCUUCACCUACAGGAAGUACCCCUGCGCAUGAUACUGUCCACAUGCCCCUAAGCACAUAACUGCCCUUUCCACCAGGGCCACAUGUAUGCCCCUCAUCAGGGGUCCUCACACUGGGCUAUAUCAUCUCCUCACAGCAGGGGUGGGUUUAUCAACCUGGGGCACACUCCUGAUGGGUUUGUCACCAUCACACUUCUGAUACCAUGUGCAGCGAAGGCUGAAGGCAGCCACCCUACCCAGGACUCAAAGCUAGCAAUGACAGGAGAUGCAUGUGAGCUCUGACCACUUUACCAAGAGCUAGCUCUCUGGCAUAGCAGGCAGAGCACCCAUUUAACCUUCCUAAGUGACCGUCUCCAGCACAAUUCACAACUGUUCCACACCUGUGCAUAAUGCCAUGGUCAUAACCUUGGUUCUAAUGGACCAUUAUCCUAUUGUGCAUAAAUAAAACAAAAUAAGACAUG
Long non-coding RNA from Electrophorus electricus (electric eel), 1033 nucleotides. RefSeq lists it as uncharacterized. NCBI's taxonomy places the organism in Eukaryota, Metazoa, Chordata, Actinopteri, Gymnotiformes, Gymnotidae. The record is from RefSeq and is a predicted model, not a curated record.